RNAcentral lists this ribosomal RNA (396 nucleotides) under bacterium enrichment culture clone ALO1_GLFRUDD03HIPIQ. Its description in RNAcentral is "bacterial SSU rRNA". It matches the Rfam family "Bacterial small subunit ribosomal RNA", at positions 9 to 406 of the family's 1533-position model. The record is from RNAcentral.
GAGUUUGAUCGUGGCUCAGAUUGAACGCUGGCGGCAUGCCUUACACAUGCAAGUCGAACGGCAGCACGGGAGCUUGCUCCUGGUGGCGAGUGGCGAACGGGUGAGUAAUGCAUCGGAACGUAUCCUGGAGUGGGGAUAACGUAGCGAAAGUUACGCUAAUACCGCAUAUUCUGUGAGCAGGAAAGCGGGGGACCUUCGGGCCUCGCGCUCUUGGAGCGGCCGAUGUCGGAUUAGCUAGUUGGUGAGGUAAAGGCUCACCAAGGCGACGAUCCGUAGCAGGUCUGAGAGGAUGAUCUGCCACACUGGAACUGAGACACGGUCCAGACUCCUACGGGAGGCAGCAGUGGGGAAUUUUGGACAAUGGGGGCAACCCUGAUCCAGCCAUGCCGCGUGAGU